UAUUUAUUUUAUUAUAUUUAUUUUUUGUUUACUUAAUUAAUUAAUAAAAAUAAUUUUGUUGAAUUUUGUCUUAGUAUAUUUUGUAGAAUUGAUUUUUUAGAUUAUAGUUUAUUGGUAAUGUAAUUGUUUUACGAAAUAUUAUUUUAAAUUUUUAAAAGUAGAUUUUAUUUAUUGUACCUUUUGUAUCAGGGUUUAUCAAAAUUUUAGUAUUUACUUUACUUGUCUCGAUUUGGGUUGAUUUAUAAAUAAUUUAUAGUGAAUGUAUCAUACUUCUGAUUAAAUUAUUUAUAGAAAUGAGAUGUUAACCGGCCCCCAGGAUAUCUAGUUUCAUAAGAAAAAAUUUAAUUUUUUAAAGUUAAUUGUUUUUAUUUAAUUUUUUAAGUAUAAAUAUUAACUUAUUUAUUCUUUAAGGGAUAAGCUUUGAAGUUAAUAACCUAUAAUUUGUUUUAAUAAAAUAUAAAAGUAAGCUUUAAACCAGCUAUCUUUAAGAUUACGUUUUAGUUCAUUAUUUUUAUUUUUGAUUUUAUAACUAUUUUAGGUUUUUUAUUAAGAUUAUAAAUUUAAUUUUUAAAUUUUGGCAAUAAGGAAAGAAUUAGUAUAUUUAUUUGUAUAUAAUUUUUACCUUGUUAAUUUAUUAUAAGGAACUAGGC
Molecule: ribosomal RNA, 650 nt
Filed under: Schistocerca piceifrons peruviana
Lineage: Eukaryota; Metazoa; Arthropoda; Insecta; Orthoptera; Acrididae
Description: partial 16S ribosomal RNA
Source: RNAcentral